RNAcentral lists this ribosomal RNA (443 nucleotides) under uncultured bacterium. RNAcentral describes it as "partial 16S ribosomal RNA". It matches the Rfam family "Bacterial small subunit ribosomal RNA", at positions 338 to 795 of the family's 1533-position model. The record is from RNAcentral.
CCUACGGGUGGCUGCAGUGGGGAAUAUUGGGCAAUGGAGGAAACUCUGACCCAGCAAAGCCGCGUGAAUGAUGAAGGUCUUCGGAUUGUUAAGUUCUUUUCUAAGGGAAGAAGAAAGUGACGGUACCUUAGGAAUAAGCCUCGGGUAACUAAGUGCCAGCAGCGCCGGUAAGACGGAGGCGGCGAGCGUUAUCCGGAAUGACUGGUCGUAAAGGGUGCGUAGGUGGAUUGGCAAUUUAGUAGCGUAACUCCAAGGCUCAACCUAGGCACUACUACUGACACUGCUGUUCUUGAGUGCGGGAGAGGCAACCGGAAUGCGUGGUGUAGCGGUGAAAUGCAUAGAUAUUAGGAGGAACACCAGUGGCGAAGGCGGGUUGCUAGAGUGUAACUGACGCUGAGGCACGAAAGCGUGGGUAGCGAACAGGAUUAGAUACCCUUGUAGUC